Long non-coding RNA from Lycium barbarum (goji berry), 503 nucleotides. RefSeq lists it as uncharacterized. The transcript is spliced from 2 exons. Lineage: Eukaryota; Viridiplantae; Streptophyta; Magnoliopsida; Solanales; Solanaceae. The record is from RefSeq and is a predicted model, not a curated record.
UUGAAAUAUUCCUUAAGACUAUAAAUAAGACCUUUAUUGUUCAUGUGAAUAACAAUAUUUUUCACCUGAAAUUCUUAGAUAAUUCUUGCACUACAAAAAUGACAGAAUAUUUUGAGAAAACACUGACAAUAUGAUAUGUGAAAGCUGACAAUUUUAUCCUUCCUAAUAGCAUCAGGGAUAGUUUUCUAGACUGUGAGUGUGAAGCGGUUAUCAUUUUUUCCGAGAACAUAUACAAAAUGAAUUAUAAACUAGGUGUAUACAGGCUUCUUUGUCAAGGCUGGAACCAGUUUGUUGAUUCGAAUGGACUGAAGCAAGGAGAUACUCUGUAUUUUGCAGUUGGUUUAAGCAACAAUGGAAUAGAUUUUGUUGUUACGAAGAAGUAGGAGAUUUUCAUUAUAGAUUAGGUUCUUUUAUAUUUUUUAUUAAUUUAUGAUCCUCAUAGUAUAGGAUCAUCUUUGUAAUUAUCUAUCAUUUUUAAUAUUAUGAAUGAAGUUUUUGUUAUC